RNAcentral lists this ribosomal RNA (404 nucleotides) under uncultured bacterium. RNAcentral describes it as "bacterial SSU rRNA". It matches the Rfam family "Bacterial small subunit ribosomal RNA", at positions 917 to 1322 of the family's 1533-position model. The record is from RNAcentral.
GGGCCCGCACAAGCGGUGGAGCAUGUGGUUUAAUUCGACGCAACGCGAAGAACCUUACCUACACUUGACAUCCUCGGAACUUUCUAGAGAUAGAUUGGUGCCUUCGGGAACCGAGUGACAGGUGCUGCAUGGCUGUCGUCAGCUCGUGUCGUGAGAUGUUGGGUUAAGUCCCGUAACGAGCGCAACCCUCGUGCUUAGUUGCCAGCAUUAAGUUGGGCACUCUAAGCAGACUGCCGGUGACAAACCGGAGGAAGGUGGGGAUGACGUCAAGUCAGCAUGCCCCUUACGUUCUGGGCUACACACGUACUACAAUGCUACGGACAAAGGGAAGCUAGCCGGCGACGGUAUGCCAAUCUCGUAAACCGUGGCUCAGUUCAGAUUGCAGGCUGCAACUCGCCUGCAUG